UACAGGGGGUGCUAGCGUUGUUCGGAAUUACUGGGCGUAAAGGGCGCGUAGGCGGCUUUGUAAGUCAGAUGUGAAAUCCCCGGGCUUAACUCGGGACGUGCAUUUGAAACUGCGAGGCUAGAGUGCAGUAGAGGUUGGUGGAAUUCCCAGUGUAGAGGUGAAAUUCGUAGAUAUUGGGAGGAACACCGGUGGCGAAGGCGGCCAACUGGGCUGCAACUGACGCUGAGGCGCAAAAGCGUGGGGAUCAAAC
RNAcentral lists this ribosomal RNA (250 nucleotides) under uncultured bacterium. RNAcentral describes it as "partial 16S ribosomal RNA". It matches the Rfam family "Bacterial small subunit ribosomal RNA", at positions 524 to 773 of the family's 1533-position model. The record is from RNAcentral.